AGCGAACGCUGGCGGCAGGCUUAACACAUGCAAGUCGAACGCCCCGAAAGGGGAGUGGCAGACGGGUGAGUAACACGUGGGAACGUACCCUUUGGUUCGGAAUAACUUGGGGAAACUCAAGCUAAUACCGGAUAAGCCCUUAUGGGGAAAGGUUUACUGCCGACGGAUCGGCCCGCGUCUGAUUAGCUAGUUCGUGAGGUAAUGGCUCACCAAGGCGACGAUCAGUAGCUGGUAUGAGAGGAUGUUCAGCCACACUGUGACUGAGACACGGCCCAGGCUCCUGCGGGAGUCAGCAGUGGGGAAUAUUGGACAAUGGGGGCAACCCUGAUCCAGCCAUGCCGCGUGAGUGAUGAAAGCCGUAGGUUUGUAAAGCUCUGUUACCCGGGACGAUAAUGACUGUACCGGGAGAAUAAGCCCCGGCUAACUUCGUGCCAGCCGCCGCAGUAA
Molecule: ribosomal RNA, 447 nt
Filed under: uncultured bacterium
Lineage: Bacteria
Description: partial 16S ribosomal RNA
Rfam family: Bacterial small subunit ribosomal RNA
Source: RNAcentral